Molecule: long non-coding RNA, 92 nt
Organism: Salarias fasciatus (jewelled blenny)
Lineage: Eukaryota; Metazoa; Chordata; Actinopteri; Blenniiformes; Blenniidae
Exons: 3
Source: RefSeq, a predicted model, not a curated record
AGGAGAAACUUUAUGGAUAUUUCAUUGUAUUCUAUUCACCAGAACGUUUAGCUAAAUUUGACUUUAUGUUAAGAUUUGAGUAAUUUUCAUCC